GGACGGAGGAGCAAACAUGCCUUUGCUACCCCUCGUGUGGUGUGUGCUCCAUUGUAAUUGGAAAUAAGUGUCAUGAAAAGCCACACAACUCAGGAGGUUGAUGUGUUUGGGCCUUGAGGAAAGUCCUCAAAUAUGCCCCCGACCGCCGUGGUGGAGGACGACGCAAAAUCUGGCCCAUCACAGAACUCUUCAAGAUGGCCCUUAUAUGGAGGAUGAUGCUGACAGUUCUACCCAGAUGCGGAGAAAGUGUGAGGCAGAACUGAGAAGGUGUAAAGGAGAGGUGUCAGUUGUCAGCAUACUACCCUGUGGUGCUUAAGGACACAAGAAAAUGGUAUCCUCUCCGUCGAUUCACAAAAUCUGUGAAAAUACCUUCCUUCAGUCUUCUCUGUUCUUUUCUAAUCACUCUUCAAAUGGUCUGAUAGCUCAUGCUUUGGUCUAUCAAAAUGUAUACAUCAAAUGUUGUUAAUAUUGAGACAAAUCAUUUUAAAAAGUAGAGAUUGUCCUAGUCUUUCUAUGCAUGUAAUGUCUGUGGGUGAAUUAUGAAACAAAUGUAUGAGGAUGUGAAAAAAAUUGUUGUGUGGAUUUGUUUUGCAAUUGCUUGAUCUAUUUAAAAAGGUAAGAAAUAAUAUGUUGCAGAUUAACUGAAUUUGGUGACUAUGGAAACAGAAAUGCAAUGAACAAUGUUUUCAAUAUCCAACUUCAUCCUCUGCAAUACUUUAUACAGUACACUCUUAGAAAAAAAUGUGCUAUCUAGAACCUAAAAUGGUUAUUCGGCUGUCCCCAUAGGAGAACCCUGUUUGGUUUGAGGUCGAACCCUUUUGGGUUUUAUGUAGGACCCUUUCUACGUGGAACCAAAACGUAUUUUCCUUGGAACCAAACAUGGUUAUUCUAUGGAGACAGCAGAAGAAACCUUUUGGAACCCUUUUUUCUAAAAGUGCAAGUAAUAAUCUGUAGUCAGGUGGUCAAUAACAGGUUAUGAUGAGGUCUUAACUAUGACUAGUAGGCUACAUAAUAUAGUGGUCAGAAUUAUGACCAGCAGGUCAGAUAAAGGUCACAAUUAUUAUGGCGGUCAGAAAAAGACGGCAUAUUCUGGUCAGUAAUAAUAAGUAAAAUAAAAAAGUAAUUUCCCAACCAGAAUAAGACAUCAUAAAAAUACAUCAUACUGACAUACAUACUGUCUUUUAAACCAGGUUUUGCCCACUUGGUUCUUACAGCCUACUUCAUACAAGUA
Oncorhynchus tshawytscha (Chinook salmon) is the source of this 1231-nucleotide long non-coding RNA. RefSeq lists it as uncharacterized. The transcript is spliced from 3 exons. The record is from RefSeq and is a predicted model, not a curated record. NCBI's taxonomy places the organism in Eukaryota, Metazoa, Chordata, Actinopteri, Salmoniformes, Salmonidae.